AGGGGUGUAGCUCAGAGGUAGAGUGUGUGCUCAGUGUGCACGAGGUCCUGGGUUCAGUCCCCAGUACUGCCA
RNAcentral lists this transfer RNA (72 nucleotides) under Camelus bactrianus (Bactrian camel). It matches the Rfam family "tRNA". Rfam says of the family: Transfer RNA (tRNA) molecules are approximately 80 nucleotides in length. Their secondary structure includes four short double-helical elements and three loops (D, anti-codon, and T loops). Lineage: Eukaryota; Metazoa; Chordata; Mammalia; Artiodactyla; Camelidae. The record is from Rfam by way of RNAcentral. RNAcentral also lists the same sequence under 3 other names.